This 1683-nucleotide long non-coding RNA is filed under the name Homo sapiens (human). Its description in RNAcentral is "PREDICTED lncRNA (TCONS_00223327)". Lineage: Eukaryota; Metazoa; Chordata; Mammalia; Primates; Hominidae. The record is from RNAcentral.
GGGUAAAGCAAAGUCUUCAAGGGAAGAUAACAAAGGAUGAAACAAUGGUGUUGUGUGACUUCCUAGUGUGAAUCAUGGCAAUACAGUGAAAGACAGUGAUUUACUGCUUUUGAGGGCGUGCAUGUAUAUGAUUAACGGAUGGAAGUGCAGGACUCCAAGAUUUACUUCCUUCCCUUUCCAGCAGAAUUACCUGAGACGAGUAAAAUCUACUGGUGGAGUCACUCCAUUAUUCUUAUCUGUGGAGAUCUAGAUCUUGAUUUGAAAGUUUCUGAGAAAAUCUUCAGCUCAGACUUGAGGGUCAACUUUACCAGCUGAAGGAUCUGCAUUUACUGCUCAACCACAUCUAAUUUGAUGUCCUCUGCAGAUUUAAAAUGUGUGCCUUCUUUUCCGUCACCAAGUCAUCCCUGGGUUACUACUGAACAUCCUUCUCAAUUCCCCCCGACCCAUGGAUGGCUGUUCUCCAUUGUCUGUUUCACCAGAUGUCCUCAAAACAAACAGACAGAAGAAGGAAGUGGCUAAUGGAGCUGUGGAGUCCAAGUGUGACUGCCAAGAGGAAUCCAGCAAAGCCAAAAAGCCCAAGCAUGUAGCCCUGCCCGAAGCACGCCACACGCAUGGAAAACCCAGAGGAAAUGAGUGAGGAUCAAUGGGAAGAAGAGAGCCAGCCAGGUUCGAUGCCUUCUCCAUCCGUCAGUGAGGGUGUGGAGAGCCUGCAGGCGUGUGCCUCCCUCUGUAACUUGCUAUUCCUUGUGUAAUGUCAAGUGGAAGUGUGAAGCACCACAAACUGCUCUGAGCAGAGCCCACUUCCCUUCACCCACGGAGAGCGUGAAGCAGUUACACCAACAUCAAUCAAGGAAAACCCACAGGCUGAGCUCACACGGUUGAAGCAGGAAGUUGAAGAUUUGUCCAGGAGCAGAUAGCUGAAGAGAGAGAGAGAGAAGAGAGAACGGCUUACAGCUCAGGUCCUCUCUCCAUGCUUAGGAACCACUACAAAUGCUACUGCCUUGAGUCUCAUUUUGUUUCCCUCUGGAAACCACAUGUGUACCUUGUUUGCAACAGUAUGGUUCUCGAUCUACACAUAGGCUGGAAUGCAGUGGUGUUGGUGUGAUAAGGGUCAGUGCAGUCUCAACCUCCUGGGCUCAAGUGAUCCUCCUGCCUCAGCCUUUUGAGUAGCUGGGACCACAGGCUCACAGGCAGAAGGAAUUUUCCUUGUCUUGGAUGAGACUUUUGACUUGGACUUUUGGGUUAAGUUCUGGAGACCAGAAGGCCAAAAUCAAAAGUAUGGGCAGGCUUGAUUUCUUUAGAAGACUCCAGCGGAGAACUGUGUCUCCUUGCUUCUGAUUCUACAUCUCCAUCCAUGGGCCACUGUUUCAGCAACCUCAGCCAGUGCAACACAACCUCAGCCAAGAAGAUUUGUUAGACUUUGGAUGGUGGAGACCUGUGCCUGCUACUUCUCUCAUCUCCUGAUACCUAAUGCAUAGUGUUCAGGCACCGAGGAAGAGAACCAAUGGCAGAGGCCACAUGUGCAAGCAAGAUGGGAGUCUGGAGAGCCUCAGGCUAAAUCACGAGUGCUCAGCCCUCUCCUCUUUGUAAGGGCAACCGGGUCAUAUCUGCCAGCAUAGAACUGCUCUGUCCACAGCCCUAAAAUCUAAUACCUAGAACAAUAAAUGCACUUAAGCACGUCAA